This 630-nucleotide ribosomal RNA is filed under the name Stenotrophomonas maltophilia. Its description in RNAcentral is "bacterial SSU rRNA". It matches the Rfam family "Bacterial small subunit ribosomal RNA", at positions 62 to 679 of the family's 1533-position model. Lineage: Bacteria; Pseudomonadati; Pseudomonadota; Gammaproteobacteria; Lysobacterales; Lysobacteraceae. The record is from RNAcentral.
UCGAACGGCAGCACAGUAAGAGCUUGCUCUUAUGGGUGGCGAGUGGCGGACGGGUGAGGAAUACAUCGGAAUCUACUUUUUCGUGGGGGAUAACGUAGGGAAACUUACGCUAAUACCGCAUACGACCUACGGGUGAAAGCAGGGGAUCUUCGGACCUUGCGCGAUUGAAUGAGCCGAUGUCGGAUUAGCUAGUUGGCGGGGUAAAGGCCCACCAAGGCGACGAUCCGUAGCUGGUCUGAGAGGAUGAUCAGCCACACUGGAACUGAGACACGGUCCAGACUCCUACGGGAGGCAGCAGUGGGGAAUAUUGGACAAUGGGCGCAAGCCUGAUCCAGCCAUACCGCGUGGGUGAAGAAGGCCUUCGGGUUGUAAAGCCCUUUUGUUGGGAAAGAAAUCCAGCCGGUUAAUACCUGGUUGGGAUGACGGUACCCAAAGAAUAAGCACCGGCUAACUUCGUGCCAGCAGCCGCGGUAAUACGAAGGGUGCAAGCGUUACUCGGAAUUACUGGGCGUAAAGCGUGCGUAGGUGGUUGUUUAAGUCUGUUGUGAAAGCCCUGGGCUCAACCUGGGAACUGCAGUGGAAACUGGAUAACUAGAGUGUGGUAGAGGGUAGCGGAAUUCCCGGUGUAGC